UGUUAUUUAUGUAUUUAUUUACUUUUUCAUAGAACCACCAAGUCCAAUACAAUACAUUUUGGCAGGAGUUUUCAUUGGGAUUACAUUGAGUUUAUAGAUUAAGGUAGAGACACUUUUGACUUGAUCUCUGCAGUCCUCAACAUGGUAUGUAACACAAGGUAGGUCCUUAAUAUUUGCAUUUGGUUGGUUCGAAACUAAACGUGUGACCGUCACGAUGACAUCUCUCAGCUUGCUGUCAUGUGGCACCACUGGGUCAUCCUUCCCAUCCCAUGACAGUUCUUAGACUCAAGUUCAGGUUUAGUUAGUCUAUGCUAGCCCCCUGUGUUGUUUACCAUUCCACAGACAAUGCAUUUCUUGGCUACUGGGGAAAAACAUCCUGUAGUGUGAACCAAUCUCCCCCUCUCCCUGCCUAACCCUGGGUCUCAGUUUGCAGAGGCUCUGCCUUGGGCUCAUUCUCACAGAGCAGCAGCAGCCGCAGAUGAAAGUGGGGCAAGGUUCACCUGAGCACAAAGCAGAGCCCGGCCUGGCUAAUAAAUUAUGUAGAGUUUCUAU
Molecule: small RNA, 552 nt
Filed under: Pongo abelii (Sumatran orangutan)
Lineage: Eukaryota; Metazoa; Chordata; Mammalia; Primates; Hominidae
Description: retained intron
Source: RNAcentral